GUGCCAGCAGCCGCGGUAAUACGAAGGGUGCAAGCGUUACUCGGAAUUACUGGGCGUAAAGCGAGCGUAGGUGGUCGUUUAAGUCCGUUGUGAAAGCCCUGGGCUCAACCUGGGAACUGCAGUGGAUACUGGGCGACUAGAGUGUGGUAGAGGGUAGCGGAAUUCCUGGUGUAGCAGUGAAAUGCGUAGAGAUCAGGAGGAACAUCCAUGGCGAAGGCAGCUACCUGGACCAACACUGACACAGAGGCACGAAAGCGUGGGGAGCAAACAGGAUUAGAUACCCUGGUAGUCCACGCCCUAAACGAUGCGAACUGGAUGUUGGGUGCAAUUUGGCACGCAGUAUCGAAGCUAACGCGUUAAGUUCGCCGCCUGGGGAGUACGGUCGCAAGACUGAAACUCAAAGGAAUUGACGGGGGCCCGCACAAGCGGUGGAGUAUGUGGUUUAAUUCGAUGCAACGCGAAGAACCUUACCUGGCCUUGACAUGUCGAGAACU
RNAcentral lists this ribosomal RNA (494 nucleotides) under uncultured Stenotrophomonas sp. RNAcentral describes it as "bacterial SSU rRNA". It matches the Rfam family "Bacterial small subunit ribosomal RNA", at positions 505 to 997 of the family's 1533-position model. The record is from RNAcentral. Lineage: Bacteria; Pseudomonadati; Pseudomonadota; Gammaproteobacteria; Lysobacterales; Lysobacteraceae.